AGCCACAGCCAUAUCACCCUGCAGCCCAAGACCGGUUACUCACUGAAGCUAGGCAGGCCUGAGCCUGGUCAGUACCUGGAUGGGAGACCACUAGGGAACACUAGGUGGCUGUUGCAA
Molecule: non-coding RNA, 117 nt
Organism: Danio rerio (zebrafish)
Lineage: Eukaryota; Metazoa; Chordata; Actinopteri; Cypriniformes; Danionidae
Source: Rfam